This 378-nucleotide ribosomal RNA is filed under the name uncultured organism. RNAcentral describes it as "partial 16S ribosomal RNA". It matches the Rfam family "Bacterial small subunit ribosomal RNA", at positions 527 to 896 of the family's 1533-position model. The record is from RNAcentral.
GUAGGUGGCAAGCGUUGUCCGGAAUUAUUGGGCGUAAAGCGCGCGCAGGCGGUUCUUUAAGUCUGAUGUGAAAGCCCACGGCUCAACCGUGGAGGGUCAUUGGAAACUGGAGAACUUGAGUACAGAAGAGGAAAGCGGAAUUCCACGUGUAGCGGUGAAAUGCGUAGAGAUGUGGAGGAACACCAGUGGCGAAGGCAGCUUUCUGGUCUGUAACUGACGCUGAGGCGCGAAAGCGUGGGGGGAGCAAACAGGAUUAGAUACCCUGGUAGUCCACGCCGUAAACGAUGAGUGCUAAGUGUUAGGGGGUUUCCGCCCCCCCCUUAGUGCUGCAGCUAACGCAUUAAGCACUCCGCCCUGGGGAGUACGGCCGCAAGGCUG